Molecule: ribosomal RNA, 447 nt
Filed under: Arthroleptis xenodactyloides (Chirinda screeching frog)
Lineage: Eukaryota; Metazoa; Chordata; Amphibia; Anura; Arthroleptidae
Description: partial large subunit ribosomal RNA
Rfam family: Bacterial large subunit ribosomal RNA
Source: RNAcentral
UAUGAACGGCACCACGAAGACCAUGCUGUCUCCUUUUUCUAAUCAGUGAAACUGAUCUCCCCGUGAAGAAGCGGGGAUUAUUCUAUAAGACGAGAAGACCCUAUGAAGCUUAAAAUUUAUAUCAACUGCCACCCAUAUACCACCUCAACCUGACAGACCUGAUUACCAAUUUUUGGUUGGGGUGACCGCGGAGCAAAAUUAAACCUCCACAAUGAAAGGACCAACCUCCUAAUUCAAGAAUUACACUUCUAAAAAUCAACAUAUUGACAUAAAUUGAUCCAAUUUUUGAUCAAUGAACCAAGUUACUCUAGGGAUAACAGCGCAAUCCAUUUCAAGAGCCCCUAUCGACAAAUGGGUUUACGACCUCGAUGUUGGAUCAGGGUGUCCUAGUGGUGCAACCGCUACUAAAGGUUCGUUUGUUCAACGAUUAAAACCCUACGUGAUCUG